CCUGCUGUAGCUCAGUUGGCUCAGAGCGCUGGAUUGUGGCUCCAGAGGUCAAGGGUUCGAAUCCCUUCGGCAGGA
RNAcentral lists this transfer RNA (75 nucleotides) under Planctomycetales bacterium. RNAcentral's name for it is "tRNA-His". It matches the Rfam family "tRNA". From Rfam's summary of the family: Transfer RNA (tRNA) molecules are approximately 80 nucleotides in length. Their secondary structure includes four short double-helical elements and three loops (D, anti-codon, and T loops). The record is from RNAcentral. Lineage: Bacteria; Pseudomonadati; Planctomycetota; Planctomycetia; Planctomycetales.